RNAcentral lists this unclassified non-coding RNA (419 nucleotides) under fungal sp. Its description in RNAcentral is "partial internal transcribed spacer region". The record is from RNAcentral. Lineage: Eukaryota; Fungi.
AAGUCGUAACAAGGCUUCCGUAGCUGAACCUGCGGAAGGAUCAUAUCAGAGAUUGCGAACUACGCGGGUUACAAGAGCAGGAUGAAGGUUCACGGGGGGGGUUAACGUUUGGAUACGUGUUAAUCAUAGCCCGGAAAGUUGUAGUGAUUCAGAGACCCCUGGCUACGGGCGAACAUUGGAACAGUUACAAUCGAGCGGUAGUUCUAUAGGCAAUGUUUCCCCAAGCAGUCAGUGUCGGAAAGUGUCAUUGAUUGUGCAAGGAUAGCGCUUCUACGAUUCCUGUAGACCGUACACUCGGGCAGGAGCUUUGCCAAAGGGUCCCCAUGCCCCCUAAUAACCCCACAGUUUAAUGUGAAGCUCAAUGUAAUACAUUGGGUAAAAAAACCGAACAACUGUUAACAAUGGAUAUCUUGGUUCUC